CAGAAGGUAGUUUAAUGAAAAUAUUUGCUUUGGGGGCAAGAGAUGAGAAGUCGUUCUUUCUUCUGA
RNAcentral lists this transfer RNA (66 nucleotides) under Diplometopon zarudnyi. RNAcentral's name for it is "tRNA-Pro". The record is from RNAcentral. Lineage: Eukaryota; Metazoa; Chordata; Lepidosauria; Squamata; Trogonophidae.